Molecule: long non-coding RNA, 1276 nt
Organism: Sander lucioperca (pikeperch)
Lineage: Eukaryota; Metazoa; Chordata; Actinopteri; Perciformes; Percidae
Exons: 2
Source: RefSeq, a predicted model, not a curated record
AGCUACUCUUUGUUUUGUUGUAGUUGGUUUCUCAAAAAAUGUCAAGAAAGGACGCCAUAUUUUGUAAAAAUGUAUCCUCAGAUCCCUGGGUAGUGUAACGUAUUUUCUCUAAAUUCAUACAGGACAUAAUGUCUCUAAUCCAAUGUGAGUGGGAAGGAGGAGCAGGGUCUUUCCACUUGAGUAUGAUAAUCCUACGAGCCAGUAAGGAGGAGAAGGCCAAUACCUUCAGCUUCACCUUAGGCAAGUCCAAACUGAGAGCAAUGCCAAAAAUGGCAGUAAAAGGGUUCGGCUCAAUCUGAUGGUGAAGUACUUCAGAAAUUGUUUGAAAAACUGAUGUCCAGAAAUCAGUUAGGGUGGGACACAUCCAGAACAUGUGAAAGAGUGACGCAGGUGCGCUCUUGCAGCUAUCACAGGUCGGGUCGACGACAGGAAACACAUGAGCUAGUUUGGUUUUAGAUAUGUGGAGACGAUGUACUACUUUAAAUUGCACAAGAGCAUGACGGGCGCACAUGGAGGUAGAGAGUAUCCGAUCCAGGACUGAAUCCCACAUGCGAUCUGUGAAGGCAGAACCUAGAUCCUGGACUAUGCAACUUCGAAAUAAGGUUAUAAAAGACCGAAAUUGUGCCUUUUAAUGUGGGGUUAACAGAAAGAAACAUAUCGACAGGAUUGGCUGGGGGUUUAUUAGGGAAUUGGGGAAUUAACUUCUGUAUAUAAUGCCUGAUCUGUAGAAAUCUGAAAAAAAUCAGUCUUUACGAUACCAAAGUUAUUCGUCAAUUGAGAAAAGCUAACAAAUAGAUCAUUAAUAAAUAAAUUGCCAAUGCAGAUUAAGCCUUUUUUAUGCCAGAUCUUAAAUGAACCGUCCACCGUCGAGGGAGCAAACAAAUGAUUAGCUGCAAUUGGGCUGAGAAGUGAAAAAGUCUGCAGACCAAAAUUCUUCCUAAAUUGGGUCCAGAUUCGAAGGGAGUGCUUUACCACAGGAUUCCUGUUGGGAAAAGCAGAAGAGAGUGGGAAUGCGGCGCUUAAGAGGGCAGAUAGAGACAAAGGGCUAAUAGCGCUGGACUCCAUUGUUACCCAGACUGGGGCUGAGUCGUCAAGGUGAAAAUGCCCCAACUACACUAAAGAGCGAAUGUUAGCAGCCCAGUAAUAGUAUUGGAAAUUAGGCAGUGCCAUUCCACCUGUUUGUUUGGGUCUUUGAAGAAAAGCUUUCCGUAACCGAGGGUGUUUACCAUUCCAAAUAUAAUUUAUCAUUAAAGAGUCCAGGGCCUGAAAAAAGGAU